RNAcentral lists this ribosomal RNA (104 nucleotides) under Erinaceus europaeus (western European hedgehog). The record is from RNAcentral. Lineage: Eukaryota; Metazoa; Chordata; Mammalia; Eulipotyphla; Erinaceidae.
GUCUACGGCCAUACCACCCUGAACACGCCCGAUCUCGUCUGAUCUCGGAAGCUAAGCAGGGUCAGGCCUGGUUAGUACUUGGAUGGGAGAAGUAACCAUAGAUA